RNAcentral lists this ribosomal RNA (256 nucleotides) under uncultured Pseudomonas sp. RNAcentral describes it as "partial 16S ribosomal RNA". It matches the Rfam family "Bacterial small subunit ribosomal RNA", at positions 96 to 355 of the family's 1533-position model. The record is from RNAcentral. Lineage: Bacteria; Pseudomonadati; Pseudomonadota; Gammaproteobacteria; Pseudomonadales; Pseudomonadaceae.
CGGCGGACGGGUGAGUAGUGCCUAGGAAUCUGCCUGGUAGUGGGGACAACGUUUCGAAAGGAACGCUAAUACCGCAUACGUCCUACGGGAGAAAGCAGGGGACCUUCGGGCCUUUCGCUAUCAGAUGAGCCUAGGUCGGAUUAGCUAGUUGGUGAGGUAAUGGCUCACCAAGGCGACGAUCCGUAACUGGUCUGAGAGGAUGAUCAGUCACACUGGAACUGAGACACGGUCCAGACUCCUACGGGAGGCAGCAGCC